GAUGAACGCUGGCGGCGUGCUUAACACAUGCAAGUCGAACGGAAAGGCCCAAGCUUGGUUGGGUACUCGAGUGGCGAACGGGUGAGUAAGACGUGGGUGAGCGUCCCUACACUUCGGGAUAAGCCUGGGAAACUGGGUCUAAUACCGGAUAGUACCACAUAUUGGAUGUUGUGGUGGAAAGAUUUUCGGUGUGGGGUGAGCGCGCGGCCUAUCAGCUUGUUGGCGGGGUAAUGGCCUACCAAGGUGGCAACGGGUAGCCGGCCUGAGAGAGUGUACGGCGACACUGGGACUGAGAGACGGCACAGGUACGUACGGGAGGGAGAUGUGGGGAAUAUUGCACGAGGGGCGCAGGCCUGAUGAAGAGGGGUUGCGGGGGGGAUAGCGGCGUUGGGGUUGUAGACCGGUUGUGAUAGUGGAAAGGUGACUCUGUGACGGUACCUGGCGAAGAAGCACCGGCUAACUACGUG
Molecule: ribosomal RNA, 467 nt
Filed under: uncultured bacterium
Lineage: Bacteria
Description: partial 16S ribosomal RNA
Rfam family: Bacterial small subunit ribosomal RNA
Source: RNAcentral